Molecule: non-coding RNA, 163 nt
Filed under: Schistosoma margrebowiei
Lineage: Eukaryota; Metazoa; Platyhelminthes; Trematoda; Strigeidida; Schistosomatidae
Description: Eukaryotic small subunit ribosomal RNA
Rfam family: Eukaryotic small subunit ribosomal RNA
Source: Rfam by way of RNAcentral
CACCGCCCGUCGCUACUACCGAUUGAAUGGUUUAGUGAGGUCGUUGGAUUGGUGUCGUUGUAGUGGCGUUGCCGCUCGACUGAUGCUGAGAAGAUGACCUAAUUUGAUGAAUUUAGAGGAAGUAAAAGUCGUAACAAGGUUUCCGUAGGUGAACCUGCGGAAA